CGCAAAUCAAUCUAAAUCUAACUUGAAAUCAUUUUCUAUAGCAGUUACUUACUUGAGUUUUGCAGCAGAUAGAAUAAACACAGAGGUUGAAAACGAGUUUUCAGGUUUCUGCCAAUGAACACGAACAAUACAAGAAGAAAGAAGAGGGAUUGGAGAGGUGCGGAAGGAUGGCAACCAAAGUGUGAUAUUUAUAAAGGAGGAAAUUGAGUCGAG
Molecule: unclassified non-coding RNA, 213 nt
Filed under: Hevea brasiliensis (rubber tree)
Lineage: Eukaryota; Viridiplantae; Streptophyta; Magnoliopsida; Malpighiales; Euphorbiaceae
Source: RNAcentral